RNAcentral lists this ribosomal RNA (797 nucleotides) under uncultured bacterium. RNAcentral describes it as "bacterial SSU rRNA". It matches the Rfam family "Bacterial small subunit ribosomal RNA", at positions 8 to 796 of the family's 1533-position model. The record is from RNAcentral.
AGAGUUUGAUCCUGGCUCAGAUUGAACGUUGGCGGCAGGCCUAAAACAUGCAAGUCGAACGGUAACAGCGGAAGCUUGCUUCCGGCUGACGAGUGGCGGACGGGUGAGUAACACGUAGGAAUCUACCUAGUAGUGGGGGACAACCCGGGGAAACCCGGGCUAAUACCGCAUACGCUCUACGGAGGAAAGCAGGGGAUCUUCGGACCUUGCGCUAUUGGAGGAGCCUGCGUCGGAUUAGCUAGUUGGUGGGGUAAAGGCCUACCAAGGCGACGAUCCGUAGCUGGUCUGAGAGGACGAUCAGCCACACUGGAACUGAGACACGGUCCAGACUCCUACGGGAGGCAGCAGUUAGGAAUCUUGGGCAAUGGGCGCAAGCCUGACCCAGCCAUGCCGCGUGUGUGAAGAAGGCCUUCGGGUUGUAAAGCACUUUCAGCGGUGAAGAAAAGCUCAGGGCCAAUAUCCUUGAGUCUUGACGUUAACCGCAGAAGAAGCACCGGCUAACUCCGUGCCAGCAGCCGCGGUAAUACGGAGGGUGCGAACGUUAAUCGGAAUCACUGGGCGUAAAGCGCGCGUAGGCGGUUUGUUAAGUGGGAUGUGAAAGCCCCGGGCUUAACCUGGGAAUUGCAUUUCAAACUGGCGAACUAGAGUGCGGUAGAGGGAGGUAGAAUUUCCUGUGUAGCGGUGAAAUGCGUAGAUAUAGGAAGGAAUACCAGUGGCGAAGGCGGCCUCCUGGAUCGACACUGACGCUAAGGCGCGAAAGCGUGGGGAGCAAACAGGAUUAGAUACCCCCGUAGUCC